GGUUUCGUGGUGUAGUGGUUUUCACAUCUGCCUUACGCGCAGAAGGCCGCCGGUUCAAUCCCGGCCGGAAUCA
This is a non-coding RNA of Ctenocephalides felis (cat flea), 73 nucleotides long. NCBI's taxonomy places the organism in Eukaryota, Metazoa, Arthropoda, Insecta, Siphonaptera, Pulicidae. The record is from the annotation of a RefSeq genome assembly.